GAUUUUAACCCUAUAAAUUGAUCAUGUAAUUUACUAUUUCUACAUGCAAGCGUAGAAAAACAUGGCUCAAAUUCUAAAUUUUGUUUUUUUUCUAAUUAUUUUUCUUUUCAUAUUUAUCAUUGUAGACGGAGUUUAUUUUUGCGAAAAAGAUAAAGAUUGUCCCAUACCUAUGUGUUUCCCAAGUGAAAAUCCAAAGUGCGUAAACAUGAUGUGUCGUUGUGUGUAGUAGUUGAAAUAAUGUUCGAAGAGGAGUGCUAGCAACACUCUCUUUUCAACACUCUCUCCAACACUCACUUUCUUAUUAGUUAAAACAUGUGUGGGUCACUCACUUAGGAAGUGGAUUCCACAUAAAGUUGUAGGACCCACACAUGUUUCAACCAAUAAGAAAGUGAAUACUAGAGAGAGUGUUGAAAAGAGAUUAUUGCUAGCUUUCUCAUGUUCGAAAAUGGCUCAAUGGUUUUUCUAAGAGUAUUUAUUUUUAUUUAAAAUAUAAUGUUGUACUGUUUUGAUUUCUCACAAGUUCAAUCUUUGUUCAUCAACUUUAAAUUUAUAUGAUUGAGUCAAAAUCAUAUUAUUGUAUUAUCCAAGUGUUGUUACAUAUUUUCAUCCUUAGAAUAUAUUGAUAAUAAUAUAAUAUCAUUAUACAAUUAAAA
Molecule: long non-coding RNA, 653 nt
Organism: Vicia villosa (hairy vetch)
Lineage: Eukaryota; Viridiplantae; Streptophyta; Magnoliopsida; Fabales; Fabaceae
Exons: 2
Source: RefSeq, a predicted model, not a curated record